This 250-nucleotide ribosomal RNA is filed under the name uncultured prokaryote. Its description in RNAcentral is "partial 16S ribosomal RNA". It matches the Rfam family "Bacterial small subunit ribosomal RNA", at positions 524 to 773 of the family's 1533-position model. The record is from RNAcentral.
CACGUAAGUUGCGAGCGUUGUUCGGAAUUAUUGGGCGUAAAGGGUAUGUAGGCGGCCGUGAAAGCUUGGUGUGAAAGGCAGGGGCCCAACCCCUGGACUGCAUUGAGAACUGCACGGCUUGAAUUGCUGAAGGGCAGCCGGAAUUCCACGUGUAGGGGUGAAAUCUGUAGAUAUGUGGAAGAACACCGAUGGCGAAGGCAGGCUGCUGGCAGACGAUUGACGCUGAGGUACGAAAGUGCGGGUAGCGAAC